RNAcentral lists this ribosomal RNA (272 nucleotides) under uncultured bacterium. RNAcentral describes it as "partial 16S ribosomal RNA". It matches the Rfam family "Bacterial small subunit ribosomal RNA", at positions 355 to 620 of the family's 1533-position model. The record is from RNAcentral.
UGGGGAAUAUUGCACAAUGGGCGCAAGCCUGAUGCAGCCAUGCCGCGUGUGUGAAGAAGGCCUUCGGGUUGUAAAGCACUUUCAGCGAGGAGGAAGGCGUUAAGGUUAAUAACCUUAGCGAUUGACGUUACUCGCAGAAGAAGCACCGGCUAACUCCGUGCCAGCAGCCGCGGUAAUACGGAGGGUGCAAGCGUUAAUCGGAAUUACUGGGCGUAAAGCGCACGCAGGCGGUUUGUUAAGUCAGAUGUGAAAUCCCGAGCUUAACUUGGGAA